AGGUCAUUUCAAAGAGGGCUUGUGGAGCUGUGAAACCAAGAGCUCUCAAUGCUGUGACUAAAGACUGAUGUUCUCCAUGGGAUGUUGUAGUCACUCAAUAGUGCUGUGUUUUCCUGUGGAGGUAUAAGA
Molecule: small nucleolar RNA, 129 nt
Organism: Oryctolagus cuniculus (rabbit)
Lineage: Eukaryota; Metazoa; Chordata; Mammalia; Lagomorpha; Leporidae
Gene: SNORA25B
Product: small nucleolar RNA, H/ACA box 25B
Source: Ensembl